RNAcentral lists this ribosomal RNA (1953 nucleotides) under wastewater metagenome. RNAcentral describes it as "bacterial LSU rRNA". It matches the Rfam family "Bacterial large subunit ribosomal RNA", at positions 44 to 2010 of the family's 2925-position model. The record is from RNAcentral.
AGGCGAAGAAGGACGUGAUAAGCUGCGAUAAGCUAGGGGGAGAGGCAAAUACUCAUUAUAUCCCUAGAUUUCCGAAUGGGACAACCCAGUAUGUUGAAGACAUAUUAUCCAUCGUAAGAUGAGAAGCAAACCCGCUGAACUGAAACAUCUAAGUAGGCGGAGGAGGAGAAAAUAAAUAAUGAUUCCGUAAGUAGUGGCGAGCGAACGCGGAACAGCCCAAACCAGUGUUGUUACGGCAACACUGGGGUUAUAGGACUACAAUGUGGACUUAUAUAUUAUAGUGGAACAGGUUUGGAAAGGCCGAUCAAAGAGGGUGAUAAUCCCGUACACGACAUAAUUUAUAUACCUAGUAGUAUCCUGAGUACUGCGGGGUCGGAGACGCCCUGUAGGAAUUUGCCGGCACCAUCCGGUAAGGCUAAAUACUCCCAAGAUACCGAUAGUGAACUAGUACUGUGAAGGAAAGGUGAAAAGAACCGCGAACAGCGGAGUGAAAUAGAACCUGAAACCAUGCGCUUACAAGCGGUCGGAGCCCUUAAGUGGGGUGACGGCGUGCCUUUUGUAUAAUGAGCCUACGAGUUACUCUUCAUUGGCAAGGUUAAGGAUUUAAGGUCCGUCAACCGCAGCGAAAGCGAGUCUGAAUAGGGCGUAUAGUCAGUGGAGGUAGACGCGAAACCUUGUGAUCUACCCAUGGGCAGGUUGAAGCUCCGAUAACACGGAGUGGAGGACCGAACCGAUAAGCGUUGAAAAGCUUCCGGAUGACCUGUGGGUAGGGGUGAAAGGCUAAUCAAACUGGGAAAUAGCUCGUACUCCCCGAAAUGCCUUUAGGGGCAGCGUGGUGGUAAAGUUUUAUAGAGGUAGAGCUACUGAUUGGAUGCGGGGGAAGCGAUUCCUACCAAGUCCUGACAAACUCCGAAUGCUAACAGAUAUACACUGCAGUGAGCCAUUGGGUGCUAAGGUCCAAUGACGAAAGAGAGAGAACUCAGACCAACAGCUAAGGUCCCCAAAUCUAUUCUAAGUUGAUAUAACGUGGUGCGACUGCAUUGACAGCCAGGAUGUUUGCUUGGAAGCAGCCAUUCAUUUAAAGAGUGCGUAACAGCUCACUGGUCGAGCGGUCGUGCGUGGACGAUACUCGGGCAUCAAGAAUAGUACCGAAGCUUUGGACUUAAAUUUAUUUAAGUGGUAGGGGAGCAUUCUAACUGCGUAGAAGAAGUUGCGUGAGCGCUAUUGGAGCGGUUAGAAAAGCAAAUGUAGGCAUAAGUAACGAUAAAAUAGGCGAGAAACCUAUUCGCCGAUAGACUAAGGUUUCCUGAACAACGAUAAUCGAUUCAGGGUCAGUCGGGACCUAAGGUGAAGCCGAAGGGCGUAAUCGAUGGACAACUGGUUAAUAUUCCAGUACUUGUAUCACUGCGAUGGAGAGACGCAGGCGCGUAAGGUCAGCGAACUGACGGAAUAGUUCGUUUAAGUGCGUAGGUUUAGGUUCUGUAGGCAAAUCCGCAGAGCUUCUGAAACAUGAAAGUAGCCAGAGUCGUCAGACAAAGGCAUUGACCCCAAGCAUACUGCCAAGAAAAUCUUCUAAGCUUCAGGUGAAUACAACCCGUACCGCAAACCGACACAGGUAGUCAAGUAGAAUAUACUAAGGCGCUCGAGUGAUCCGCGGCUAAGGAACUAGGCAAAUUAACCCUGUAACUUCGGGAAAAAGGGUGCCACCAGCAAUGGUGGCCGCAGAGAAAUGGCGGUGGCGACUGUUUAACAAAAACACAGGGCUUUGCAAAACUGAAAGGUGAAGUAUAAGGCCUGACACCUGCCCGGUGCCGGAAGGUUAAGAGGAGAGGUUAGCGUAAGCGAAGCUUUGAAUUGAAGCCCCGGUAAACGGCGGCCGUAACUAUAACGGUCCUAAGGUAGCGAAAUUCCUUGUCGGGUAAGUUCCGACCUGCACGAAUGGUGUAACGAUCU